AUUUUCCGGUCGCGCGAGAUUUUUUUUGGUUACCGGAACCGGUAGUAUUCUUGCGGCAGUAUUUAAGCCGAAAGCAGUGGCCAUUUCGUUCCAGUCUGGUUUUGUCUUCAAAAUCAGACACAAAAGGAUAAUCAGAGCCCUUUGUUUGUUCAAGGAUCGGAUAUCAGUUAAUUCUUUGGAUUUAUAUCAGUGCUUUUCUAUCGUCUUCAUGGAGUUCCAGCGUGUUGAGCAUAGGGAUAAUGUGGGCGUGGCAGGCUUGAUGUCGAUGUUGUUGACUAAAGAACUUGCUGAAGGUUUUUGUAAGGUGCUACAGAGACAGUAUUUCAAUUGAUAAUUUCCAACAACAAACAAAUCCAUUAUGUGCUUACCCAUCAAAUACAAAACAGAUAGGGUACACCCAAACAAUGUUCAUCUUCAAACAAUCAUGCAUGAUCCUCACAAGCUUUGGAUACUGACGUACAUUUGCAAACGCACUCAGACUGAUGACAUCAAGAAAUCUAUAUUUGUUAUUUACAUUAUAU
Long non-coding RNA from Biomphalaria glabrata, 521 nucleotides. RefSeq lists it as uncharacterized. The record is from RefSeq and is a predicted model, not a curated record. The transcript has 3 exons. NCBI's taxonomy places the organism in Eukaryota, Metazoa, Mollusca, Gastropoda, Planorbidae.